GGUUGGCUGAUGGCCGCG
RNAcentral lists this unclassified non-coding RNA (18 nucleotides) under Chlamydomonas reinhardtii. RNAcentral describes it as "small RNA Cre_1996". Lineage: Eukaryota; Viridiplantae; Chlorophyta; Chlorophyceae; Chlamydomonadales; Chlamydomonadaceae. The record is from RNAcentral.